AUACGUAGGUGACAAGCGUUAUCCGGAUUUACUGGGCGUAAAGGGCGUGUAGGCGGUCUUGCAAGUCAGAAGUGAAAUUCCUGAGCUCAACUCGGGCGCUGCUUCUGAAACUGCAGGACUUGAGUGCUGGAGGGGAUAGCGGAAUUCCUAGUGGAGCGGUAAAAUGCGCAGAUAUUAGGAAGAACACCGGUGGCGAAGGCGGCUAUCUGGACAGUAACUGACGCUGAGGCGCGAAAGUGUGGGGAGCAAACAGGAUUAGAUACCCUGGUAGUCCACACUGUAAACGAUGGAUACUAGGUGUGCGGGGACUGACCCCCUGCGUGCCGGCGUUAACACAAUAAGUAUCCCACCUGGGGAGUACGAUCGCAAGGUUGAAACUCAAAGGAAUUGACGGGG
This 396-nucleotide ribosomal RNA is filed under the name uncultured bacterium. RNAcentral describes it as "partial 16S ribosomal RNA". It matches the Rfam family "Bacterial small subunit ribosomal RNA", at positions 523 to 918 of the family's 1533-position model. The record is from RNAcentral.